AUACUGCCAGACUUGGAACCGGGAGAGGUAAGAGGUACUACAGGGGUAGGAGUGAAAUCUUGUAAUCCCUGUGGGACCACCUGUGGCGAAGGCGUCUUACCAGAACGGGUUCGACGGUGAGGGACGAGAGCUGGGGGCACGAACCGGAUUAGAUACCCGGGUAGUCCCAGCCGUAAACGAUGCUCGCUAGGUGUCAGGCAUGGCGCGACCGUGUCUGGUGCCGCAGGGAAGCCGUGAAGCGAGCCACCUGGGAAGUACGGCCGCAAGGCUGAAACUUAAAGGAAUUGGCGGGGGAGCACAACAACGGGUGGAGCCCUGCGGUUUAAUUGGACUCAACGCCGGACAACUCACCGGGGGCGACAGCAAUAUGUAGGCCAAGCUGAAGACUUUGCCUGAAUCGCUGAGGAGAGGUGCAUGG
This 418-nucleotide ribosomal RNA is filed under the name uncultured archaeon. Its description in RNAcentral is "bacterial SSU rRNA". It matches the Rfam family "Archaeal small subunit ribosomal RNA", at positions 581 to 997 of the family's 1478-position model. The record is from RNAcentral.